RNAcentral lists this ribosomal RNA (1042 nucleotides) under Klebsiella pneumoniae. RNAcentral's name for it is "partial 23S ribosomal RNA". It matches the Rfam family "Bacterial large subunit ribosomal RNA", at positions 812 to 1838 of the family's 2925-position model. Lineage: Bacteria; Pseudomonadati; Pseudomonadota; Gammaproteobacteria; Enterobacterales; Enterobacteriaceae. The record is from RNAcentral.
UGGCUGGGGGUGAAAGGCCAAUCAAACCGGGAGAUAGCUGGUUCUCCCCGAAAGCUAUUUAGGUAGCGCCUCGUGAAUUCAUCUUCGGGGGUAGAGCACUGUUUCGGCUAGGGGGUCAUCCCGACUUACCAACCCGAUGCAAACUACGAAUACCGAAGAAUGUUAUCACGGGAGACACACGGCGGGUGCUAACGUCCGUCGUGAAGAGGGAAACAACCCAGACCGCCAGCUAAGGUCCCAAAGUCAUGGUUAAGUGGGAAACGAUGUGGGAAGGCACAGACAGCCAGGAUGUUGGCUUAGAAGCAGCCAUCAUUUAAAGAAAGCGUAAUAGCUCACUGGUCGAGUCGGCCUGCGCGGAAGAUGUAACGGGGCUAAACCAUGCACCGAAGCUGCGGCAGCGACACUAUGUGUUGUUGGGUAGGGGAGCGUUCUGUAAGCCUGCGAAGGUGACCUGUGAGGGUUGCUGGAGGUAUCAGAAGUGCGAAUGCUGACAUAAGUAACGAUAAAGCGGGUGAAAAGCCCGCUCGCCGGAAGACCAAGGGUUCCUGUCCAACGUUAAUCGGGGCAGGGUGAGUCGACCCCUAAGGCGAGGCCGAAAGGCGUAGUCGAUGGGAAACAGGUUAAUAUUCCUGUACUUGGUGUUACUGCGAAGGGGGGACGGAGAAGGCUAUGUUAGCCGGGCGACGGUUGUCCCGGUUUAAGCAUGUAGGCUGGUUGUCCAGGCAAAUCCGGAUAAUCAAGGCUGAGGUGUGAUGACGAGGCACUACGGUGCUGAAGUAACAAAUGCCCUGCUUCCAGGAAAAGCCUCUAAGCAUCAGGUAACAUCAAAUCGUACCCCAAACCGACACAGGUGGUCAGGUAGAGAAUACCAAGGCGCUUGAGAGAACUCGGGUGAAGGAACUAGGCAAAAUGGUGCCGUAACUUCGGGAGAAGGCACGCUGGUGUGUAGGUGAAGUCCCUGCGGAUGGAGCUGAGACCAGUCGAAGAUACCAGCUGGCUGCAACUGUUUAUUAAAAACACAGCACUGUGCAAACACGAAAGU